This 407-nucleotide ribosomal RNA is filed under the name uncultured bacterium. RNAcentral describes it as "partial 16S ribosomal RNA". It matches the Rfam family "Bacterial small subunit ribosomal RNA", at positions 30 to 526 of the family's 1533-position model. The record is from RNAcentral.
AUUGAACGCUGGCGGCAGGCCUAACACAUGCAAGUCGAGCGGAGCGGGGGACGGGUGAGUGAUGCCUAGGAAUCUGCCUGGUAGUGGGGGAUCACGUCCGGAAACGGGCGCUAAUCCCACAUACUAUCAGAUUAGCCUCGGUCGGAUUAGCUAUUUGGUGGGGUAAAGGCCUACCAAGGCGACGAUCCUUAACUGGUCUGAGAGGAGGAUCAGUCACACUGGAACUGAGACACGGUCAAGAUUCCUACGGGAGGCAGCAGUGGGGAAUUUUGGACAAUGGGCGAAAGCCUGAUCCAGCCAUGCCGCGUGUGUGAAGAAGGCCUUCGGGUUGUAAAGCACUUUAAGUUGGGAGGCGUUACCAACAGAAUAAGCACCGGCUAACUUCGUGCCAGCAGCCGCGGUAAUAC